AGGAUGAUUCGGAAGGAAGAAUAAGAAGCCAGUUGUCAGGUCUUGUCUUCACGCUUACUUGUGGCUACCCAGUGAGUGAAUCGAAAGUACUCAUUUUCAACAACUGUGAACAAAUGUCAAAAAAUGAGUAGAAUUUAAAACUGUCACUGUGUCAAAGUAACUUAACCGCGCCAUCCGACAUUUUCAAGUUUUUCCGGAUGGAUAAAAUUAAAAGUGUUAUAGACAGCGAGUCGUGUCAGGCUCUAGCUGAUUUCAAACGUCCCGUUUGUGGUUGCUUUGUGGAUUGAUGCCGAGAGAAGCAGAGCUGUUCCGGAUACAUGUUCGAAAAAAAACAUUGAAUUAAACCUAUUGCACAUGUGGGUAUUGCAAUAAAACGUAGUUAUUUUUUAAAA
Long non-coding RNA from Malaya genurostris, 392 nucleotides. RefSeq lists it as uncharacterized. The transcript is spliced from 2 exons. The record is from RefSeq and is a predicted model, not a curated record. Lineage: Eukaryota; Metazoa; Arthropoda; Insecta; Diptera; Culicidae.